This 253-nucleotide ribosomal RNA is filed under the name uncultured bacterium. RNAcentral's name for it is "partial 16S ribosomal RNA". It matches the Rfam family "Bacterial small subunit ribosomal RNA", at positions 524 to 776 of the family's 1533-position model. The record is from RNAcentral.
UACGUAGGGGGCUAGCGUUGUCCGGAAUCAUUGGGCGUAAAGAGCGUGUAGGCGGCCCGGUAAGUCCGCUGUGAAAGUCGGGGGCUCAACCCUCGAAUGCCGGUGGAUACUGUCGGGCUAGAGUGCGGAAGAGGCGAGUGGAAUUCCUGGUGUAGCGGUGAAAUGCGCAGAUAUCAGGAGGAACAUCAGUGGCGAAGGCGGCUGCCUGGCCCAAUACUGACACUCAGGUGCGACAGCGUGGGGAGCAAACAGG